RNAcentral lists this ribosomal RNA (497 nucleotides) under uncultured bacterium. RNAcentral describes it as "partial 16S ribosomal RNA". It matches the Rfam family "Bacterial small subunit ribosomal RNA", at positions 28 to 507 of the family's 1533-position model. The record is from RNAcentral.
GAUGAACGCUGGCGGCGUGCCUAAUACAUGCGAGUCGAGCGAACGGACGAGAAGCUUGCUUCUCUGAUGUUAGCGGCGGACGGGUGAGUAACACGUGGAUAACCUACCUAUAAGACUGGGAUAACUUCGGGAAACCGGAGCUAAUACCGGAUAAUAUUUUGAACCGCAUGGUUCAAAAGUGAAAGACGGUCUUGCUGUCACUUAUAGAUGGAUCCGCGCUGCAUUAGCUAGUUGGUAAGGUAACGGCUUACCAAGGCAACGAUGCAUAGCCGACUUGAGAGGGUGAUCGGCCACACUGGAACUGAGACACGGUCCAGACUCCUACGGGAGGCAGCAGUAGGGAAUCUUCCGCAAUGGGCGAAAGCCUGACGGAGCAACGCCGCGUGAGUGAUGAAGGUCUUCGGAUCGUAAAACUCUGUUAUUAGGGAAGAACAUAUGUGUAAGUAACUGUGCACAUCUUGACGGUACCUAAUCAGAAAGCCACGGCUAACUACGUG